GUCUACAGCCAUACCACUCUGAACGUGCCCGAUCUUGUCUGAUCUCGGAAGCUACGCAGGGUCGGGCCUGGUUAGUACUUGGGAGAUCCUAACUUAUAAGCUACAUAGUUACCUGAAUAACUAGUUCUUUACUUU
Molecule: ribosomal RNA, 135 nt
Filed under: Cavia porcellus (domestic guinea pig)
Lineage: Eukaryota; Metazoa; Chordata; Mammalia; Rodentia; Caviidae
Source: RNAcentral